UGGUGUGUACUAGCCUGCCGAUUCCUCCUUCUUGUAGAACCGUAAUGCCAUUAAUUUGGUGUUGCGGGGAAACAGGACUGUUACUUUGAAAAAAUUAGAGUGUUUAAAGCAGGCUAGCGCCUGAAUACAUUAGCAUGGAAUAAUGAAAUAGGACGUUCGAACCUAUUUUGUUGGUUUCUAGGAUUGACGUAAUGAUUAAUAGGGAUAGUUGGGGGCAUUAGUAUUCAAUUGUCAGAGGUGAAAUUCUUGGAUUUAUUGAAGACUGACUACUGCGAAAGCAUUUGCCAAGGAUGUUUUCAUUAAUCAAGAACGAAAGUUAGGGGAUCGAAGACGAUCAGAUACCGUCGUAGUCUUAACCAUAAACUAUGCCGACUAGGGAUCGGAUGAUGUUAAUUUUUUA
This 400-nucleotide ribosomal RNA is filed under the name uncultured Glomeromycotina. RNAcentral describes it as "SSU rRNA". It matches the Rfam family "Eukaryotic small subunit ribosomal RNA", at positions 669 to 1073 of the family's 1831-position model. The record is from RNAcentral. Lineage: Eukaryota; Fungi; Glomeromycota.